GUGCUCACUUCAGCUGCACAUAUACUAAAAUUGGAAUGAUACAGAGAAGAUUAGCAUGACCCCUGCACAAGGUGGCAUGUAAAUUCUUGAUGCAUUCCAUUUUAUU
Molecule: small nuclear RNA, 106 nt
Organism: Cercocebus atys (sooty mangabey)
Lineage: Eukaryota; Metazoa; Chordata; Mammalia; Primates; Cercopithecidae
Source: Ensembl